Molecule: non-coding RNA, 75 nt
Organism: Schistocerca americana (American grasshopper)
Lineage: Eukaryota; Metazoa; Arthropoda; Insecta; Orthoptera; Acrididae
Source: the annotation of a RefSeq genome assembly
UGCUUGGGUAGCUCAGUUGGUAGAGCACUUGCCUGUGAAAAGCAAAGGUCCCGAGUUCGAGUCUCGGUCUGGUAC